ACACAUUUCCUUUCUUCUUUGCCUUUGAAGGGUAGUUGAAAGUAACUGAAGCGGCCCGUCCAUGGGUGAUUUUGCCCAAAAUCUCAGUGCCCUACGCGUCCAUGGGGCGAUGCCGUACCAAAUCGCAAGGGGAAAAAGAAAUAGAUGUUGGUGCCCCAAAUCCGAGUGCCCUGCCCGUCCAUGGGGAGAUGCUCUACCAAAUCGACAUGCGCUCCGGAUCAGGCGUGGUUCACAAGCGAUGCGGCAUCUCACUUUUGGCUAUGCAGUCCAUUGGCGCUGGGACAUUUAGAUGUGGCGUUGGGUUCAGGGGCCAUCUUCUGUGUGUUGUUCCUAUCGUCUUAGGCUGCGGAUGUGCUCACAGUACGCCUCUCCUUCUUAGUUUUUAGUACAGGGGGAAAACACAGUUCCUUCUUUCCUUCGUCCUUAAGGGAAAAAAGAAAUGGAGGCCGUUGGCCCAAAUUUGAGUGUCUUGCCCAUCCAUUGGGAGAUGAUGUACCCAAUUAGUGAAUAUGGCGUAUCAGAUUAAUUCGCUUGCCCAUCCAUGGCCAAAGCUUGGAGGAUAUCAUGCUGGUGGCCAUUUUUUGCCGAGACCUGGACAUGUGCACGAAGGGCCACUUCGAGUCGCUUGGUGACAUAAUGAUUUUAGGAGCAUCACCGGCAAACCUACCUUCAGUUUAAGCUCGUGGUUUGGAAUUCCUGGGAAGGUCAUCUUGUUAAGGAACUCCGUUGGACACAUAUUCUCCAUUGUGUUGUACUUCAUUGUUGUCUUGCAUAUAGUGUCCAAGCUUAGUCUCUCGACGGGUGGAUCGCGAUGGUGAAGAUCAAACUGGAAUAUCCGCCAGCAUGCUUCGGUUGUUGAUAUGUAUCUCAUCUCUAGGUAUUUCCUGAUUUCAUCAUAAUCGUUUGCCGCAUCCCUUUCCUUUAGUAAGGCUGUUACUUGGUCGUCGUCUUUAUGGAUGUACUUAAAUAGGUACUUAAUUGACCUGGACCUGUUGCACCACUCGACAUUUAUGUGAGCUUGGAAUUUGACCAAAAGGUUUCUGUUGUAUGGCAUGACAAAUAUGUUGUCGAGCAUUGCUCCUCCCUUUUUAAUCUUCCUUCCAUUGUCUCGCCUUCUAUAUACUGGAAAGCCAUCCUCAUCGAUUGUGCUAUCGACAUUGUAUCCUUUUGGGAAGUGUUUACUACAUCUGUUCUCCAUCAUGCAUGGCGAUUUUGUAUUUGCCUCUCCGCAAGGCCCGUGCAUCAUGAAAUUCUCAACAGCUGCAUAUCCAUCCGGAUCGACAUCUUUGUCUGGGAUCUCCACACUGAUUAUUUGGUCAAUUUCUGAUGGUCCUUUGCACUUGUAAUUAUCUUUGAGGAAUACCAGUAUGUGCGCAUGCGGGAGUCCCCUCUUCUGGAACUCUAUCGCGUAGAUAACUGCAUUGAUUGAAUACAUAGUUUGGUUUUGUUACAUUUCAGAAGCAUUUUAUUAAAUAGACAAAGGCUAUAGUGUGCUAAAACUAUUAAAAAUUUAGAUGCUAUUAGUUGCGAUGAGUAGUCGACUGAUCUUACUUGCUAUCGUUUCUCCAAAGUGUUUCUUCACAAGAUGUCUCUCAUCAACUCCUUCAGUUUUAUCAUGAAUACUCGAUCAACAAUAUCUGGCCGGUCGGCUGGAUUUAAGCCUCCUCCUGCUUCAUCUAGCAUGUAUUGGAUCUCGGGCCACUUUGCAUUGCAUGUGAAUGUUAUAAACAGGUCUGGAUAUCCAGCCCAACGGCAUAUUGCAAAAGCGUCUUGCAAGUUCUGUGCCUUGUAUCUUCUGCCUCCUGUAAAAGAUGAAGGUACAAUUAUCCUCUUUCCAACCUGCUCUGUUCUGGUGUCCUCUCGCUCAAUCGCGUCUUGCAGUCCACUAUAAAGUUUAGUUCGUAACUUCCCUUGAUUAUUCCUGACCCAGUUUAGUCUGUUUUGCUCAAUGCAUGUGUAAACAUCUACCCAAAAUUGCAGCGAUAGAUGUCUAGACGUUAGCAGUGACAUUCCUUGGUCAGGUCUUUGCUGUAGGUAGUAUGCGUAGUAGUCCAGCAUAGUUACAUAUUUCCUGCUUUUGUCACCUUCUUUUCUUCGCUUGUAAGGUAUUUCAAGCUUGAAGCCGUCUUCUCCGUAUGGAAACAACAUCAGGUAUUGCAUCGACAUGAACUUUGGAUGGAUUUCUGAUAUUCUGUGAGGUUCCAUAUUUUUGUACUCGACAACGUUGUCUCGUCCUUCGCUCUCUCCAGUUGGAUCUCUUACAACCAAUGCUGCAACUUCCUAUGCAGAUGGAAGGUUGUGUGUUCCGUUCCUUUUCCCAAGUAUCCGAAGUGUGUAAUCGUGGUAGUCUUCUUCUUUGAAUCUAUCUCUUGCCAUUCUAAAAGAUUUCACGAGGAUGUUGUUCUCAUCAAGCAUAUUUUGUAGUUUUUCGACAAUGGCAGUGUUCACCGUUGAUUUUUUAUCAUUGCAUCUUGAAGCAUCUAUCCUGUUUUGAACCUCAUUUUCUUUCUGAUAGAUGUAUAGCUGGGCGAAUCGAGGUUUGUUACCUUCUUCAGGUAGUAGACUUCCGAUAUGGUGGUAGUUCUGGCCAUGCAGUCUAAAAACAUAUGGUCCUUUGCCUUCGUUUAUUUCUUUGUCAACAGCUCCUCCCAUUGAUGUGAAUGAGAACAUUGAGUUGUAUGACCUGAUGUUUUCUUUGAAGUUUGUUGCAUCACUUCCUUCACCUGUUAAUAGUCCUGCGAGGUAAGGUGGAGGAUAUGCUAUCUUUGGUAGGUCAAUCUUACCUUGUUUACAGCAAAUUCCGAAAGAAGGUUUUUUGGUUCCUUUAUGAGAAUUUAAUCUUUCCUCACACCAUAGUAUUGCAUUGAAAUGUUCGCAUCUAUAUGUUGGCUUUCCAAAGUUCCAUAUCGUGCUAUCAUAACUUCUGGACGUAGUGCUGCUGCUUGUUUCUAUGAUGUUGCUUUGAAGGUCAUUGUCCCUCCCAUUUCUCCUUGAACGCUUGACAUCUCUUAUUUCAUUGAUUUGUUCCUUUCUCUUCCGUGAAGCAUCUUCUUCUAUUUUAUUGGUUGUUUCCUGUGUAUUCCUGCAUCUCUUACUCCUUUUUUCUUGUAGUUGUUGUUUCCUCCUGAUAAUAGCUUCUUUAGCUUCUUUUGCAAGUGGGCCUGCUGAUUUUGACGUAUACUGUCCCUUCAUUUCUGCAUUUGAUAUUCUUUUAGCAAUAUAGUAUCAAAUAUUUGAAAGGUACUUUAUGCACAAUGUCAUAAACAAAACAAUGUAUGCACUAAAUAAGAGAUGCUGGCUGCAUGUAGAAACAACCUAUAAUUCUUAUCAAUCAUGCUUUUCAGGAUUGUUGUGUUGCGUGGUUCGAGCUGCAGCGUAUGGCAUUAUUGGUGUGACAGUGUGGUUGUUUCUCAGUGCACGACAAUUGCUCCAUGGGAAUUACUACGGCGAAGUACUCUCAAAGUCAUUUUUAGCACUACACGUAAAAUUAUUUGGUUUUGUAAUAUUUACAAAGGGAAAUCUUUCAAAUGUAUAUUUUAGAGAAGUACAAAAAAUUAGUCAUUACAUGAAGAUAUAAAAAGGUGAAUGAUAUACCUGAUAGUGUCUUCUUGCCUUGGUUUUUAAAAUUUGUAAAGCUUCACACGCUUCUACUAAUAAAUUAUUGUCACAAUUGUAUCUUUGCUGCAAAGCAAAUCCUGUACUG
Triticum dicoccoides is the source of this 3703-nucleotide long non-coding RNA. RefSeq lists it as uncharacterized. The record is from RefSeq and is a predicted model, not a curated record. The transcript has 6 exons. Lineage: Eukaryota; Viridiplantae; Streptophyta; Magnoliopsida; Poales; Poaceae.